This 22-nucleotide ribosomal RNA is filed under the name Rhodotorula mucilaginosa. RNAcentral describes it as "partial 28S ribosomal RNA". Lineage: Eukaryota; Fungi; Basidiomycota; Microbotryomycetes; Sporidiobolales; Sporidiobolaceae. The record is from RNAcentral.
GAUUAGAUCUCAAAUCAGGUAG